Daktulosphaira vitifoliae (grape phylloxera) is the source of this 272-nucleotide long non-coding RNA. RefSeq lists it as uncharacterized. NCBI's taxonomy places the organism in Eukaryota, Metazoa, Arthropoda, Insecta, Hemiptera, Phylloxeridae. The record is from RefSeq and is a predicted model, not a curated record. The transcript has 2 exons.
AACGUAUUAUGCAUCACAAAAUAUUCAAUUUAUUUCAUAUACAGUAAUAUCGAUCUAAUAUAAAAUAGAAAUAAUAUGCACUCAAUAAAAAUGUUCACUAUCAGUGUUAUUCUGCUUUCAACCGUAUUAAGAAAUACGGAGACUUACCCAACAAGUAACUCUAACUUGACGGGUAGCUCAUCGAAUGUAAUACCUGUUACUACGUCUAGCGGUGAAGAUAUAUUUGAUGUUUUUACGGCCUACCCGGAAGACACACUAUCAACAUUUUUCGA